This 449-nucleotide ribosomal RNA is filed under the name uncultured bacterium. RNAcentral's name for it is "partial 16S ribosomal RNA". It matches the Rfam family "Bacterial small subunit ribosomal RNA", at positions 29 to 523 of the family's 1533-position model. The record is from RNAcentral.
AACGAACGCUGGCGGCAUGCCUAACACAUGCAAGUCGAACGAAGCCUUCGGGCUUAGUGGCGCACGGGUGCGUAACGCGUGGGAAUCUGCCCUUGGGUUCGGAAUAACAGUUAGAAAUGACGGCUAAUACCGGAUGAUGUCUUCGGACCAAAGAUUUAUCGCCCAAGGAUGAGCCCGCGUAGGAUUAGGUAGUUGGUGGGGUAAUGGCCCACCAAGCCGACGAUCCUUAGCUGGUCUGAGAGGAUGAUCAGACACACUGGGACUGAGACACGGCCCAGACUCCUACGGGAGGCAGCAGUGGGGAAUAUUGGACAAUGGGCGAAAGCCUGAUCCAGCAAUGCCGCGUGAGUGAUGAAGGCCUUCGGGUUGUAAAGCUCUUUUACCAGGGAUGAUAAUGACAGUACCUGGAGACUAAGCUCCGGCUAACUCCGUGCCAGCCGCCGCGGUAA